This is a long non-coding RNA of Ailuropoda melanoleuca (giant panda), 178 nucleotides long. RefSeq lists it as uncharacterized. The transcript is spliced from 3 exons. Lineage: Eukaryota; Metazoa; Chordata; Mammalia; Carnivora; Ursidae. The record is from RefSeq and is a predicted model, not a curated record.
UUAUGCUGCUGUGCACUUUGCUGAAGUCCUAAUAUCAUCUCCAUACGCUGCCCACCGCCUCAAGGAGUGGCUACAUGUGUGCUGAAUUAAUAAAUGAUGGACUACACAAAUGGAUAAAGCAAUUGGAUAUAAUUUUUUAAUUUUAUUUAUUUAUGUGACAGAGAGACAGCCAGCAAGA